Rasamsonia emersonii CBS 393.64 is the source of this 73-nucleotide transfer RNA. It matches the Rfam family "tRNA". From Rfam's summary of the family: Transfer RNA (tRNA) molecules are approximately 80 nucleotides in length. Their secondary structure includes four short double-helical elements and three loops (D, anti-codon, and T loops). The record is from Rfam. NCBI's taxonomy places the organism in Eukaryota, Fungi, Ascomycota, Eurotiomycetes, Eurotiales, Trichocomaceae.
GGGGUCGUGGUUUUAGUGGUAUAAUGCAUCCUUAGCAUGGAUGAGGUCCCGGGUUCGAUUCCCGGCGACUCCA